Molecule: ribosomal RNA, 301 nt
Filed under: uncultured bacterium
Lineage: Bacteria
Description: partial 16S ribosomal RNA
Rfam family: Bacterial small subunit ribosomal RNA
Source: RNAcentral
CAGCCGCCGCGGUAACACGAAGGGGGCUAGCGUUGUUCGGAAUUACUGGGCGUAAAGCGCACGUAGGCGGAUAUUUGAGUCAGGGGUGAAAUCCCAGAGCUCAACUCUGGAACUGCCUUUGAUACUGGGUAUCUUGAGUAUGGAAGAGGUGAGUGGAAUUCCGAGUGUAGAGGUGAAAUUCGUAGAUAUUCGGAGGAACACCAGUGGCGAAGGCGGCUCACUGGUCCAUUACUGACGCUGAGGUGCGAAAGCGUGGGGAGCAAACAGGAUUAGAUACCCCCGUAGUCCCUGUCUCUUAUAC